AGAGUUUGAUCCUGGCUCAGAUUGAACGCUGGCGGCAUGCCUUACACAUGCAAGUCGAACGGUAGAGGGGCAACCCUUGAGAGUGGCGAACGGGUGAGUAAUAUAUCGGAACGUGCCCAGUCGUGGGGGAUAACGCAGCGAAAGCUGCGCUAAUACCGCAUACGAUCUAUGGAUGAAAGCGGGGGAUCGCAAGACCUCGCGCGAUUGGAGCGGCCGAUAUCAGAUUAGGUAGUUGGUGGGGUAAAAGCCCACCAAGCCGACGAUCUGUAGCUGGUCUGAGAGGACGACCAGCCACACUGGGACUGAGACACGGCCCAGACUCCUACGGGAGGCAGCAGUGGGGAAUUUUGGACAAUGGGCGCAAGCCUGAUCCAGCAAUGCCGCGUGCAGGACGAAGGCCUUCGGGUUGUAAACUGCUUUUGUACGGAGCGAAACGGUCUGGGCUAAUACCCUGGGCUAAUGACGGUACCGUAAGAAUAAGCACCGGCUAACUACGUGCCAGCCGCCGCGGUAAUAC
Molecule: ribosomal RNA, 517 nt
Filed under: uncultured Comamonadaceae bacterium
Lineage: Bacteria; Pseudomonadati; Pseudomonadota; Betaproteobacteria; Burkholderiales; Comamonadaceae
Description: bacterial SSU rRNA
Rfam family: Bacterial small subunit ribosomal RNA
Source: RNAcentral